AAUUUUCGGCAAUGGGGGCAACUCUGACGCAGCGACGCCGCGUGAGCGAUGAAGGUUUUCGGAUCGUAAAGCUCUGUCCUUGGGGAAGAAGGCGGCCAUUUUUGGCCACUUGACGGUACCCAAGGAGGAAGCCCCGGCUAACUACGUGCCAGCAGCCGCGGUAAUACGUAGGGGGCAAGCGUUGUCCGGAAUUAUUGGGCGUAAAGGGUGCGUAGGCGGCCUUUUAAGUCAGAUGUGAAAGGCCACGGCUUAACCGUGGGGUUGCAUUUGAAACUGGAGGGCUUGAGUAUCGGAGAGGGUAGUGGAAUUCCCAGUGUAGCGGUGGAAUGCGUAGAUAUUGGGAGGAACGCCAGUGGCGAAGGCGACUACCUGGACGAAAACUGACGCUGAGGCACGAAAGCUAGGGGAGCAAACA
Molecule: ribosomal RNA, 415 nt
Filed under: uncultured bacterium
Lineage: Bacteria
Description: partial 16S ribosomal RNA
Rfam family: Bacterial small subunit ribosomal RNA
Source: RNAcentral